This 497-nucleotide ribosomal RNA is filed under the name uncultured bacterium. RNAcentral describes it as "partial 16S ribosomal RNA". It matches the Rfam family "Bacterial small subunit ribosomal RNA", at positions 28 to 507 of the family's 1533-position model. The record is from RNAcentral.
GAUGAACGCUGGCGGCGUGCCUAAUACAUGCAAGUCGAGCGAACGGACGACAAGCUUGCUUCUCUGAUGUUAGCGGCUGACGGGUGAGUAACACGUGGACAACCUACCUAUAAGACUGGGAUAACUUCGGGAAACCGGCGCUAAUACCGGAUAAUAUUUUGAACCGCAUUGUUCAAAAGUGAAAGACGGUCUUGCUGUCACUUAUAGAUGGACCCGCGCUGCAUUAGCUAGUUGGUAAGGUAACGGCUUACCAAGGCGACGAUGCAUAGCCGACCUGAGAGCGUCAUCAGCUACACUGGCACUGAGACACGGUCCAGACUCCUACGGGAGGCAGCAGUAGGGAAUAUUACGGGAUGGACGAAAGCCUGUCGGAGCAACGCCGCGGGAGUGAUGAAGGUCUUCGGAUCGUAAAACUCUGUUAUUAGGGAAGAACAUAUGUGUAAGUAACUGUGCACAUCUUGACGGUACCUAAUCAGAAAGCCACGGCUAACUACGUG